GAUGAAGAACGCAGCGAAAUGCGAUAAGUAAUGUGAAUUGCAGAAUUCAGUGAAUCAUCGAAUCUUUGAAUGCACAUUGCGCCCGCCAGUAUUCUGGCGGGCAUGCCUGUUCGAGCGUCAUUUCAACCAUCAAGCCCCCCGGCUUGUGUUGGGGACCUGCGGCUGCCGCAGGCCCUGAAAAGCAGUGGCGGGCUCGCUGUCACACCGAGCGUAGUAGCAUACAUCUCGCUCUGGGCGUGCUGCGGGUUCCGGCCGUUAAACCACCUUCAUAACCCAAGGUUGACCUCGGAUCAGGUAGGAAGACCCGCUGAACUUAAGCAUAUCCAAUAAGCGGAGGA
Molecule: unclassified non-coding RNA, 338 nt
Filed under: soil metagenome
Description: partial contains 5.8S ribosomal RNA, internal transcribed spacer 2, and large subunit ribosomal RNA
Rfam family: 5.8S ribosomal RNA (bases 1-120)
Source: RNAcentral